Folsomia candida is the source of this 939-nucleotide long non-coding RNA. RefSeq lists it as uncharacterized. The record is from RefSeq and is a predicted model, not a curated record. The transcript is spliced from 2 exons. Lineage: Eukaryota; Metazoa; Arthropoda; Collembola; Entomobryomorpha; Isotomidae.
GGCUAUGCAUACCAGUAAGGAAAAAAGUGGUAGAUACAUGUACUGAUUCCAUUUAUCUAGCAAAAUAGGGAACCCUCACUAGUUGUGCAAAGUCCACAUACUUACCUACAUUCAGAUGUAAAUAGGUAUGCAUCGUCUACUGCACAGCUAUAAAAUUGCUUUGCACUUGCCUACCUUUUGCAUAAAUGAGUUGUUCAAGCAAAGGAGUUGGACCUCUGGAAAGAGUCAAACAUUUCUUAGUUUGAUACAGCUCAUUCAAAGAUUGUCUACCCCAAUUCUAGGCAUAUUUUAGGCAUCAGGUUUGCAUGUCCUAAACGAAGCUGGAAAUUUAUUUGGUCGUCCAUAUUCAUCUGUUUGAUGUGCGUGAUACUUCGAUCUUUUAUAUUUAAUGAUUCAGGCCCAGCUUUUGGGACAACUAUCAUUAUUAAACAAAUGAAUCAUUGGCAAGUUCAGUUAAUGCUCAUGGUGCACUCAGGUUCUUAGUUCUAAUUUUUUCUAUUGACGUAGGUGAACUAAACCAACAACGACGGGAUUAUAUGCGAUUUUUAGUAAAAAGUUGAAAAAUCAAGGUAAUAAUUACCAUAAUGAAAGAUUACUAGUUUUGAUGGGAAUCCUCCGAUAGACGGACAGAUUAUACGAUUGAAUAUCGUUAGGCACGCAGCUCAUUAAUUGUGGUUCCAGUAAAUUGUGAGGUUUGAUUUCAAGAUUUUUGUAAUGCCAGGUGUGAAGUUGGGGCACCCAUUAAAAUGUUGGUGCACCUAUAAAUUGACCAAUUUUAAAACUUUUUGCAGGUCAUCUGCACUGUUUAAUGAAUUAAGCUGCACAAUAUUAAUUAAUACGUGCAUUAUGCAUGUGUCUGUGUCUGUAUUUACCAGAAAUCAAACUAUUUGAUAAUGACAUAUGCAAAAUAUGUAUGGAUAUCAAUAAAAUGUAAAUGAA